This 85-nucleotide transfer RNA is filed under the name Felis catus (domestic cat). It matches the Rfam family "tRNA". From Rfam's summary of the family: Transfer RNA (tRNA) molecules are approximately 80 nucleotides in length. Their secondary structure includes four short double-helical elements and three loops (D, anti-codon, and T loops). The record is from Rfam by way of RNAcentral. Lineage: Eukaryota; Metazoa; Chordata; Mammalia; Carnivora; Felidae.
GCCUGGGUGGCUCAGUUGGUUAAGCAUCCGACUUUGGCUCAGGUCAUGAUCUCACAGUUUGUGGGUUCAAGCCCCGCAUCGGGCU